This is a long non-coding RNA of Vespa mandarinia (Asian giant hornet), 8365 nucleotides long. NCBI's taxonomy places the organism in Eukaryota, Metazoa, Arthropoda, Insecta, Hymenoptera, Vespidae. The record is from RefSeq and is a predicted model, not a curated record.
GGAUUGAGAAGGGAAAAGAAAGAGAAAGAGAGGGACAGAGAGCUAGGCUCUUGUCUCGGCAGGACAAGGCACGUUCUUCUUACGUGGAUCGCGGGUACAAAUCGUCGCGGUGAGAUCAAAAACCAUGCUUGCGUUCGCCUUCAGGGCUGUGCCGACGUCUCUCACGGACAGAUAAUCCGCCGUAUAAUUCCGCCAUGGAGGAUCGUUUGCCGUCUGCGAAAACUUUCACGGUGCUCCAUAGUCAGCCUCGUGAUAUAGAUAUAGUGCGAUAAGAAAACUCGGUAGGCGCGUGAGCGCGAACUCGAACGCACGCCUACGUACAUAUAUCUAUGUAUGUAUAUAUAUAUAUAUAUAUAUAUAUAUAUAUAUAUACCUAUAUACAAAUCUGUAUGCAUGUAUAACUAUAUGCAUUCGUUUAACUCUUAUUGACGAGGCGUGUCCUUCUACAUGUCAUAAUGCUGUCUACAUAACAAGAUGCAAAUGUAAACAGGGGGGGAAAAAAAAAAACGGGAGUCUUGUAAAAAUAUAAAGUUUCCUAAAGGUAACUAUUACAAUGAGACUUCGUUUGUUUGAGGUUAACGUCGACGUUAACGCGACGUCAACGAUAUACUUUUCUUUCAUAUAAACGUCUGUCACUGUUAUAAAAGGUAAAAAACAAAGAUAACCGAACGAUAAUCGAAGGAGUACGAAUAAACGGGAUUCGUCGAGUUCCACGCCUUACUGGCGAGAAAACGAACAAAAAUAGGGUUGUUCACCCCUCUCGAGCGGUACAUGCCACCGAAUGCCUCACAUUCUCUGUUCCGCCGCGCUCUCCGUCGUCUCAGUAAGAAAGGAUUUUUCUGCGGUGAGCUAAAAUUGCCGUUCUCCACGUGGGCAUAGAUCGAACCGGUAUCAGCCUUGCAAGGCUGCUUGUGACAAAGCGAGCUCGCUUUUAAAGUCAGGUAGUAAACUCGUUGUGGCGUGACGCUCUCAAAUGUGCACUCAACGAAUCGGCGUACCGUCCAGGUAGGCCUCCGCACAUUUUUCUUUGAUUUUUAUUCAGACGCGACGACGUAUCGCGAGAACGUGCCCAUGCGAUACGCCAGCGUGCUUUGGCUAUCGCUUCGCAUAACGUGCGAUAAGGGCGAAAGAAAAAGACGAUUCUUCAAAUGCAGCCGCAAUAAAUCCACCACUUUUGCCGACUUCCUCGUGGAAUUAACGAAGAAACUAAUAAAGAUAAUCGGUAGAGCGUGAGACCAACGAAUAAAUGCAAGAUAUUUAUAUCUGAAUUCUCUGAUAGUAUUAGAAGAAAGCUACAUAAUAUUUUUCUUUUUUAUCUUUUUUACUUUUUUUUCAUUUUUUUUUUUUUUUUUUUUUUUUUUUUAUUGCUUUCUGGAAAGAAGAGGAGAAAAGAAGAGCUCAUUAUUUUCCACUGUUUGCGAUAUUACAACUUGUAAAUUGCUCACAUUGUCGAGCUUAACUUAAUUACUUAAACAAAUUGAUUUAAGAAGGCGCGCGAGCGGCAAUAUUUACUGGCAUCUGCUUCGAGUUUCAAAGAUCAUCGCGUGAUUCCUUACGGAACACACGUACGUAUAUUAGUCGACAAUUUCGUAUAAUUAUUUCUUCAAUUACAAAUGCUCCUUCCCGAUCGCUUCCUGCGUCCCCGAGCGUGGCCGAUUCGGUGAAGAUAACGAUAAUGUUCUUACCAUAUACAGUUUAACCACAAAGUCAAAGAAUACGCAUCGAGUUUAGAUUGUACGUAUAUACAUAGGUAUACAUGUUUACAUACAUAUAUACAUGCCUCGCGUAUGUAACAUCGGAAACGUAUCGAUGAAAUUAUUCAAUUUGCCUUCGAGUGAUUCUUAUCUCGCGCACCGCAUCGAACAUUACUCCGUAACGUAACAACUCGCUUUCGGCGAAUACAUUCGUAUACAUAUGCGUUUAUUACAUAACCGGAUAUGACAUUAUGUAAAAGCGAACGAGUGUCUCUUUUCGCGUGCGUUUUACGAUAGUCCACUGAGCCUCAACAUACUUUCGACAAUCAAAAGCACGUAUUUUCCCUAAGUCGGUCGAGCGUGCAUGCGAUUUGUCAGAAGACAUAGUAGAUACAUUACCUAUAUACAUAUAUUCAUAAAUACGAACAUACGAGAAAUAUUUGAAUAAAACCAUCGACAACUUAGAGGUAUAACGUUGAAAAGAUAAAGAUUUCUUUCUUAUAAGUCCGAUAAAUUCGAUCGGCAAAUUCGUGCGAGAGUCACGCGAGUAAUUAAUUCGCGAACGUAUUCGCGUGUAGGCACAAUUGUUCACCGUAACGAGCGAAAGUUGCAUAACUCAUCGAUACCGCGGUCGACGGACACUCCCCCAUUAUGAAAUUCCAGCUUAAUAGGCUUCCGGCUGAACGUGCGUGCCUGAUCGGACCCAACGGCCUAAAUACCAGCCUAUGCUGCUCUAAUUAUUAUUCCAGUGGUCGCGCUUAACUUUUUCUCAAUUGACUUUUUCAUCGACGAUCCAACUGAGAACCUGCUCAAAAUAUGCGCCUACCACGAACGAUUCCGUAAGAGUUGACGUUUACUAAACGAUACUGACAGCUGCGCUGGUAGUUCAAGACGAUACUUUCCGCAGCUACUACUAUGCUGACGUACCUAACAAAUAAGGGGACGUGAUGACAUUAAAGAAAAUAACAAACUCACGAGAGGAAAUAUCCGUCAUUCGUUAUUCUUUAUUUACGUAUCGCUGAAUACAAAACAACGAAGCAACGAGAUGAGUCGUAAGACAAGAGAGUUGUUGCCGUUCACGACACAUAACGGAAUUACCUAUUCUCCAUGACGAUAAUUAAUUCGAUAAAGACUCGACUUCGUAUACCAAGGGAUUGCGGUGGUACAUAGCUAACAGUCAAUUAGGGACAACCGCAACGAAUCAAUCGACGGUCGAAGGUAGGUAGAAGUGGUAAGGGGUAAGGGAGAAGUAGGAGAAUCAAGAUCGAGAACUCGAUGUUCGUGGGGUCGAUGCUAAUUCCUCGGGUCGACAUCGUGCCCAUGCUCGCGUUCGCCCAUUGGUCCAUACCAGUGGCGGCCCCUUUUGUUCUUUUCACUCAAGAACCGACGAUAUAUGUGGAGCAACCUGGCGACGAUCGUGAUAUGCCAGCCGGCGCCCACGCUCCUGGGCAACUUUAAAAGCGUUAUGCCACCUUCGCCGCUAAACCUUCUGGCCCUGACCUGCCUCGAUCUCUCCCCUACCUUCUUGUAAAGCUACGCCCUCUUAUAUUUUCCGCCUUACCGCUUACCGCCCUUCACGUUCUCCAUCAUAACUCUAUAAUCUAUUAUAUAUAAUAUAUGGUCGAACGAGCGCUACUAUUUGGAGAAUCCAUUCUACGUUAGAGCACGACUAUGAUUCUGUAUAACGAGCACGUGCAAAAGGUGGUACGAUUUAAAUAAGGGAGGAGCAUCGUUUUGGUCCUCGAUGAUCAAGUUGUAUGACAUGUAACGAGACGCAAGUACAUAGGUACGUAUGUAUAUAAACUUAAGAUAGACCUGCCCAUAUUGCGCAUUACGCCCGAACUCCCACGCUCGAAAAGAUUGCUAAGCAUCGAUUCGACGAAUGGCGUUUCAUUCACGGUAAGGCCCACCUCCGCUUUCAGCGACGACAGUCGUAGUACGUUGCAACAGGCAAGAAAAGAAGGCCCGAUGGCUGACGAUUGCAUUCGCCAUCCACUGCAAUCUCUCUCCCACUACGAUCAACCUGUCCUCCUACUCUAAUGCCGCUUGUUGGGCCACCUCUUUCCGGGAAGAAACAUCAUCGUCGACCAUUGGAUGCUACGAAAAUCGAGCUACCGAUUGGCCAACAGCCGGUCGUACCUCGUUUAGAAAUCUUGUGACUUUGCGCGAAGAACGCAAGAUUUUAUCUUACGCGAUACGUCCCGAAUGCAGAUUGACUUGGUCUCGUUGAGAAUUCAAAUACGACAGUACAUUUUAUCCUAGGUAUAAAGAACACACACGUUACGUAAGUUAUGUAAAUUUCUCUUCUUCAUUUGAAUGUAAUUGGACGAUUUGAUUGCGUAUUACUAGAUAUUAUAACGUGUACGAAUCUACGAUUAAACUUUUUCAUCUCGGAAAUAUACCUCAUGUUAAAUUGUUUGGAUUUAAAAUCGAAGACAGCAAUAUAUAAUUAUGUCAGGUUGAUAGACCGUUGAAAUUUAUAAUAUCUACGAGUAGAUGGAACUUUAAUGGGGUCUUUUCGUGUUCGUUGAACAUUAGUUCUUGUCAAUUAAACUAACGUUAGAUAAAGCAAUUGACCCCGACGAUCAGAGGGCUUACGAAAAUACUAUAAUCAACGUUGCAAUCCAUUUAUCUAUUCUAGAAAACGCAGAAGUAACCUUUUGUUUGAUCGUUAUUAUGAUACAUUUUGUAAAAUCGAAAGGAGGAAAGAUAUCUGUGCGUGCGAGCACAGCACAUACACGGUAUAUGCACGAAGGUGUCGCUUUUCAUUGCGGUCAAGCUAAAGCUAUUCGAGGUACGAGGAAGUAUUGAAGUCGAAGUCGACAAGCAGGGAGAUCGAUAGGAACGAACAGGAUUGAUGAGGAGAAAGGUGGUGAGCCGUUGAGCCAAGAGCAGCGUGCCGGUGAACGAGGAACGUCCGCGAAAAAGAACAGGAAUAGGAAUGUCGGUUAAUUUGUAACCACGUUUAUCUAGCACGAUACCGGUGCGUACAUUUUUCUUUCUUGCACUCCAUAAGCAGUCGCACAUACAUACAUAGGCACGCGCGCGAGAAAGAGAGAAAGAAAGAAGAGAGAGAGAGAGAGAGAGAGAGAGAGAGAGAGAGAGAGAGAGAGAGAGAGAGAGAGAGAGAGAGAGAGAGAGAGAGAGAGAAUGAUAAAGAACGAUUACGCGCGAAACGACUUCGAUCAUAUGUAGGUGGUAACUUGAAAAGUUCCUCGUAAUAUCAUUGACUGUAUUCUAAUCGCGAAGCGUUUGUAGUGGAAACAAAAUUAUUACCGAUAAACAAAUUUUCGAUUGAAAAAAAAAAUUAAAAGAUAUAAGAAGUAUACGAUAACGAAAGACAAUAAAAUGUUUCUCAGAACGUAACCGGUAUUUUUUAAAAACGAUAAAAUAUUUUCCGGUUUUACCGAUCUCAUUCUUAAAAACCGGUGAGAGAUCGGUUAAGCUAGAUUCUUCUUGCGUGUACGAAAUAGCGCCUUUUUAUGGCACGUUUCUUUAGACAGCAGCAAUACUUCUAGUUCCUAUUUGAGCAGAGCUUAAGAUAGAUUGUACUGGUCGCCGUCUCUGGCGCCAGCACCGUACGAUUUCCCUCUUAAAGAGCACUUUUUCGUUGAACUGCUUACGUUGACGUACCACUCUCGUGUACGACGGGUAAACGUGAAACGGGCUGUACGCGAUCGCGACACCGGCGAAAGCUGCAACAAACUUCUACUAUACCGGUAUUCAAAGUACCGGUAUAUACAACCUAUGUUUCAGCCGUGACAGGUAUUUACUACUAGCCACGGAAAUACGUUACGCUCGUUCGCGUACUCCACGCGUAUUAGAACCGUUUUUCCAGAAAUUCAAAGAAUGCAUGAAAUCUUCGGUAUGAAACUAACCUCUAAGAAUAGAGAAGGUUCAUUAUAUAAGUAGUGACUUCCUGUAAUCACAUUCCACGCAUUCUGAAAAGUAUCAUUAUCCGACACCUUAAGUAGAAUCUCCUACGUAAGAAUAUCAUUGACUAUGAUUUAAUUUUCUUUGAAAAUGAUGAUGAUACGCGUCUAAUCAGGAAGUCCGAAGAAUAACGAAUAUUGUAUUUCAGUUGAGUCUAUAUUUUAUGAAUGAUUAACUUUAUAUCUUCCUGGAAUCUUUGAUGAGUAGAAGAGACAAUGAACGUCUGCUAAAGUAUAGCUAAGUCGACAUUACCUACUUGAAACGAUCCAAGUUCCAAGUACUUUGGAAUUUACUAAAGUAGAUACAGUAGCAAUGUGUUCCAGAAAUGGAAACAAAAUGGAUAGGAAUUGUAUACCCCGAGAUCAAGAAGACUCCCAACUGAACACCUUCGCAUAAGGAGACGACUCCUCUAGGUCUUUCCUUCCUCUAGGACCACAAAACGCGAAACGAAGAAGGAUAAGAAUGGGGUGUGGAGGGAAGAAGAAACGCGUAAGGAAAGCGAAUUUACGAGAUGAUUGUCCGGUUACCCUAUUCAUUCGGUACGGAAUCUCUAAGAGGAUCUCUAUUGUAGAUUAUUGCGCCAUUGUCCAUUGUCGCCCCUAAACCCUUUCUUCUAACUUACUCGCUUCGGUCUUUCGUCGACAGCAAAGUAAAAAAAAAAAAAAGAAAAGAACUUGUCAAGGACGAGGAGAAUCCGUGAUAACAAUUCGAUUAAACGAAAAAAGCUUUUAAGAUGAUUUCUUCUUUCAUACGUUCACUACACAAGAAAUCCUUUUUAAAAUAGAAAACCACACAGCUUCGACACGAUUUGCCAAGUACUUCCGCCGACAUUAACUUUCAAAUUGCGAGCGAUUCGAGGUAGCUUUACACUUGACACUUCUCUCAAGAUAUUCCUGUCGGACGUUCACUCACGCAAGAUGUAUCAAAGAAAAUUAUGGUCCAGCGUCAAGACGUCUACAUUUGCCAAGAGAAAUGUCAGAGGGAAACUUCAUGCACGAAGUGUCAAGUCCAAGCCCGGUUUGGACAAAGAAAAUUACCGCGACUCAAGUGUCAGGACCGUUUAUAUAAACUAAGAAAUGUCAGAGUGAAGAGACACGUAGUGAGUAUGUUCCCGAAUACUAAUUUUUCGAUAUAUAUAUAUAUAUAUAUAUAUAUAUAUAUAUAUAUACAUAUGUAGAAUAUAUACAUAUAUGAAUAUAUUAGUUUUUAAAAAUAUACUAAACCUUCCGAAUUCUUCGAUAAAAUUUCUAAUUUCUAUAUUACGAUGAUCAAGAGAAACUUUGAUAAAGCAUUCGGAAUGUAGCCGAAACAUCUUUCGAUGCAAAAGACGGACAACAGUAAGCGAGCAGUAUAAUUCCGCGUACUUCAUUCUCUAUACACGGAUAUAUAUCCAUGGUAAUUCGAGAAACAUAACUCAAGACCCAGUGGAAAGGUGCAUCACGACCACCGGCGUACCAAGUCGGCUUCUCUUUGCUACUUUAGCUGUCCGUACCCCUUUCUCUUUAUGUUCGUCGCGCACGAAGACCGUCCUUUUCUUCACCUCUUUCACCAAAGAGAAUUCAACCGAAUGUGAUGACUUUUCACAACUGAGUAUAUACCAUCUUCUAGGUAUGCAAGGUAAGCUCACUCGGGUCCAUUCAAACGUUACAAAUCAAUUUCGAUAAAAAUGAGAUGGAAAUUAUUCGGAAUACGAUUGAUGAAACAGCUAUUUGUGCUUCGAAGAUAUUUCAAUUCGUAAAUAUUUAUUUUAAAUAAUUAUCAUAUGAGUAUAUAAAAUUUUCUAAAGACAUUUGAACAUCUUUUAUAAGCGUAAUGAAGUCUUAAUAUAUUCAUAUUCUAAGAAGUAACAUAUAAUAUAUAAUUUAUGUUGCGACAAAUUUACAAGAUCCGACGACUAAUGCAAAAGAUAAAAUUACCUGUCAAUAAUUUUUCUAAUGUUUCAGCAUAAGAAAACACGUGUUAUAUUACGAUAUACCUAAUGUGAUACUGCCUACCCACGUAUGCUAAUAACGGUGCUUCUUUAAUUAAGCAUAAAACAAGUGAAUAAUAAUUAUAGGAAAUGAAAUGCUCUGACAAAUGCAAAACUUUUUCAUUUACGUUUAUUUAAGUAGCGUUCUAACACCAUUUUUUAAAAUGCCUCAAUUAAUAGAAUUGUCGCCUAAAAUAAAUUACCAAAUGAUCUCUACCUGCUAAGUUUCACAUAUUUACAUAAAGUAAAAGAUAAGAGCUGCAAAUUAUAGCCUCAUUAUAUGGGCGUAACACCCUCUUCACAAAAACUAAUGAGAAAGUCGUUUACCUUACGAUAUAAUUACACGUAAAUUAUUUCUGUUAUAAUAUUGAAAUUAAAAUUCAUUGUACACAUAUAAAUAGAUCUACAUUAACAUAUAGCCAUAUAUUUGUAUUUAAAUGAAAUUAAAGCGAUUUUAUUAGCAACUGCUUAUCGAAUGGAAAUGUAAUAUGUAUGUAAAUUUGAACAAAAUGAAAGAUAGUAAUGUCGCAUCAGAUAAAUAGAAUAAUGAAUAUAUAUUCGCAAUAACAUAUGAACAAAAAUUUGUGUAUGUCUGUGUGUAUAUAAAAAGAAACUUACCUUAUAGUACCGCUCUGCUUAUGCUUGCCGAUGAAAAAAGUCAUUAUUCCAUCGGGUAUCUGCUUUGCCCACGGUGGUUUUAUCCAGAUCAAACUUUUGAAAUGACCGGCAUAUACUGCUGGCAUAAUCCAAUUUUCGAUACUAAUAUCCC